Molecule: ribosomal RNA, 525 nt
Filed under: uncultured delta proteobacterium
Lineage: Bacteria; Deltaproteobacteria
Description: bacterial SSU rRNA
Rfam family: Bacterial small subunit ribosomal RNA
Source: RNAcentral
GAUCCUGGCUCAGAGCGAACGUUAGCGGCGCGCCUAACACAUGCAAGUCGCACGAGAAGGGGGCAACCCUGGACAGUGGCGCACGGGUGCGUAACACGUAGAUAAUCUGCCCUUUGGAGUGGGACAACGUUCCGAAAGGAGCGCUAAUACCGCAUACAGCGUUUUCUGGUUCGCCAGGAGACGGCAAAGGUUGGGACCGGCAACGGCCAAUCGCCGAAGGAGGAGUCUGCGGCCCAUCAGCUAGUUGGUAAGGUAACGGCUUACCAAGGCAAAGACGGGUAGCUGGUCUGAGAGGAUGAUCAGCCACACUGGUACUGGAACACGGACCAGACUCCUACGGGAGGCAGCAGUGGGGAAUCUUGGUCAAUGGGCGCAAGCCUGAACCAGCGACGCCGCGUGAGUGAUGAAGGCCUUCGGGUUGUAAAGCUCUGUGGGGAGGGACGAAAGCCUCGGUUCUAACAGGACUGAGUUUGACGGUACCUCCUUAGCAAGCACCGGCUAACUCUGUGCCAGCAGCCGCGGUAA